GGCGGCAGGCUUAACACAUGCAAGUCGAGCGGGGAAGUGUAGCUUGCUACAUAACCUAGCGGCAGACGGGUGAGUAAUGCUUAGGAAUCUGCCUAUUAGUGGGGGACAACAUCUCCAAAGGGAUGCUAAUACCGCAUACGUCCUACGGGAGAAAGCAGGGACCUUCGGGCCUUGCGCUAAUAGAUGAGCCUAAGUCGGAUUAGCUAGUUGGUGAGGUAAAGGCCUACCAAGGCGACGAUCUGUAGCGCGUCUGAGAGGAUGAUCCGCCACACUGGGACUGAGACACGGCCCAGA
RNAcentral lists this ribosomal RNA (294 nucleotides) under uncultured Acinetobacter AC2. RNAcentral's name for it is "partial 16S ribosomal RNA". It matches the Rfam family "Bacterial small subunit ribosomal RNA", at positions 38 to 335 of the family's 1533-position model. Lineage: Bacteria; Pseudomonadati; Pseudomonadota; Gammaproteobacteria; Moraxellales; Moraxellaceae. The record is from RNAcentral.